Molecule: ribosomal RNA, 380 nt
Filed under: uncultured eukaryote
Lineage: Eukaryota
Description: partial 18S ribosomal RNA
Rfam family: Eukaryotic small subunit ribosomal RNA
Source: RNAcentral
CAAUAGCGUAUAUUAAAGUUGUUGCAGUUAAAAAGCUCGUAGUCGGAUUUUGGCAUCACGCCGCACUGUCUGCCGAUUGGUAAGUACGGUUUGGCGGUUGCUUCCUUCCGGUGCUGUAUGCUGCUCUUAAUUGAGCGGUAUGCUAGUUCCGGUUCAUUUACUUUGAGAAAAUUAGAGUGUUCAAAGCAGGCCUAUGCUCUGAAUAGGUUAGCAUGGAAUAAUAGAAUAGGACUUUGGUUCUAUUUUGUUGGUUUCUAGGACCGAAGUAAUGAUUAAUAGAGACAGUUGGGGGCAUUCAUAUUCCAUUGUCAGAGGUGAAAUUCUUGGAUUAACGGAAGAUGAACUUCUGCGAAAGCAUCUGCCAAGGAUGUUUUCAUUGA